CUUUAUUGGAGAGUUUGAUCCUGGCUCAGGAUGAACGCUGGCGGCGUGCCUAAUACAUGCAAGUCGAGCGAAUGGAUUAAGAGCUUGCUCUUAUGAAGUUAGCGGCGGACGGGUGAGUAACACGUGGGUAACCUGCCCAUAAGACUGGGAUAACUCCGGGAAACCGGGGCUAA
RNAcentral lists this ribosomal RNA (173 nucleotides) under Bacillus thuringiensis. Its description in RNAcentral is "partial 16S ribosomal RNA". It matches the Rfam family "Bacterial small subunit ribosomal RNA", at positions 1 to 166 of the family's 1533-position model. RNAcentral also lists the same sequence under 4 other names. The record is from RNAcentral. Lineage: Bacteria; Bacillati; Bacillota; Bacilli; Caryophanales; Bacillaceae.